RNAcentral lists this unclassified non-coding RNA (377 nucleotides) under soil metagenome. RNAcentral describes it as "partial contains 5.8S ribosomal RNA, internal transcribed spacer 2, and large subunit ribosomal RNA". The stretch from base 1 to 120 matches the Rfam family "5.8S ribosomal RNA", at positions 35 to 154 of the family's 154-position model. The record is from RNAcentral.
GAUGAAGAACGCAGCGAAAUGCGAUAAGUAAUGUGAAUUGCAGAAUUCAGUGAAUCAUCGAAUCUUUGAACGCAUCUUGCGCUCCUUGGUAUUCUGAGGAGCAUGCCUGUUUGAGUGUCAUUAAAUUCUCAACUACACUGACUUUGAAUUGGUGUGGCUUGGAUUUGGGUGGGAAAAUUGUUGUGGGCUUUUUGUAUAGUCUGCUCCCCUGAAAUUGAUUAGCGGUACCUUUGUGGAACUGUCUACAGGUGUGAUAAUUAUCUACAUCCUAGACAUCUGCUGGAAUGCUGCUUUCUAAACCUUACUUGUAUUGACAAUCUUGACCUCAAAUCAGGUAGGACUACCCGCUGAACUUAAGCAUAUCAAUAAGCGGAGGA